GAUUGACAAGGGAGGAGGGCAGGGUUACCAUGAUGGGCACGGAAGGGCCUGGAACAAAGGGCAGGUCUUUGGAAACAUGGGCAAGGGAGGUGGGAGGAUAAAGCUCAGGGACAAACCAUCUACAUAGGGGUGAUGGAACAAAGAAUUAUAAACUUAGUUUGUAAUGAAAACACACCACCAAAGACCUGAAAUGCUGAAGAAAAAAAAAUAGAGGUAACGCUUGGAUUUACUAUACUUCUCUUAAUGUUUAAAUUAGGAGUUUGUCCUGGCUGCAUCCCAUCCCAACCUCCCACAUACUGCCAGUGUCCUUGACAUUGUACUGGGAUGAAAAGCCAAAAAGGCCUUGAUGCUGUGCAAGCCUUGUGCAACAGUAACAAAAAUAUUUAUAUUAUCAACCCUGUGUUCAGCAUAUCUAUAGGUAAAAGUUGCAUGUUUGAGAUAGAGCUUCACAUAUUUUGUCUUGAAGAAACAGCUGGUGUUUUUUAAUGGAAACUGACAUGUAAAACAGCAUGACAAGUAGGUACCUCAGACCAGUGCUAACUUGUGUGAUGUAUUUCACCCUAUCUCUUCAUGCCAAGAGACAGAGUGCACCUCCACAGCAAGGAAACAGUGCAUUCAACAGCUGGGUAAGCCUCGGAAGACAGGAAAUUCAGAGUGGCUGAAGAAUACAUGCAACAGAGCAAGAUGGAAAAUGGUAGCAAGCUGUAACCCGCUGGUCAGCAAAUGAAGAUAUUCCUUUCUUACCAGCCAAUUGUCACAGAGGAAAUCAUGGCUGUGGUUAAGAAGGAAACACAUCUGCUGUCUUGUUAGAACCUAAAUUCCUCAAUCCUCCUGGGGAGAAGUAUCUACUCCAUGCAGUUGCCUGUGAGUGAGAACAGACUGAUCCCCAUCUGGCUACACCCUCCUGUCAGGUGGUUGCAAAGGGAUCAGAUCAGCCCUGAGCCUCCUUUUCUCCAAGCUAAACACCCCAGCUCCCUCAGCUGCUAAUCAUCACAUGUGCUCUGGAUCCUUCACCAGCUUCAUUGCCCUUCUCUAGACCCACUCCAACACCUCACUAUCCCUCCUGAAGGACCCCCUCUUUUCAUUUACUGAGGCUGCAGUCCUUCAGGAAUGGAUUUCUCCCAUCAUUCCCACAGACAGCACCUCCUGCCAGAAAGCCUUCUCCUGCAUGGUCUCACUUUGGAGGGCUGCAGUUUCUGCCAGGAACUCCAGUGUGGGCUUGCCACAGACUGCAGCUUCUUUCAGGGAGAAAAGCUUCUGCAUCACCAUCUUCAGCAAAAGCAGUGCCAUUCAUGACACCAAAUGAAUAACGGCAAGAUGGAAGGACUAGAUACAGAGCACAUUAAUUAAGUAAAAUAUUACUUUACUUUUACUACAGGAAACUUUGAUUUCAAUUGGUUUCUGCACACUAAUACAUUUCCUAAAACUGCUAUAAAUUUUUAUGGAUGGAUUACUUUAUCUGAAGAGCUCACAGUGAAUUACGAUUUGUACAAGGCUUUCCUCUCUGAGACUUAAUGUGUGUUUCUCUGUCUGUUGAACCAGACUUCAUAAAGGUUCUCCAGAGGUGCUAGGCAUCAUUAAGGAUAGAAAUAAGCUCUUCCCUCUUUCACUGAAAUACUAUAUUUAUUGCUUCAGUGUAGUAAUGUGAAUGUCCAUUUUGUUUCUCUUUGAUUUUCACUGUCAAUAUCUGGCCCCUAAUUAUAGAAUUAGAAAGGAUGACCUUAGUAAUGCAUCCAAAUGAAAAAUAAUUCAUAUUUUAUUCUCUGCCAAUAUACCCCUGAAAAAUUAAAAUAUGUAAAUUAAAACACCAGGCAGUUAAAAGAAUUAACUGGAAACCACAUGCUGUAUCAAAAGACUUAAGCUGUAUCAAAAGACUUAUUUCAAAAUCUGAGCACUUGAUGUAACUUAUUUAUGUGGAGCUAAGUCAGUUUACAGGAGUAACUACCCUAUGAGGGCUGCACAUUUUAGAACUGUUCUCACAGUUCUUCUGCCUGCAGUUUUAGAAAAAGAGAGUUUGUGAACCUACUAACUGUGGGGAAAAACUCCACAAACUCUACAGACAGCUUCAAGCCAUGUAAAUCAGAAUGCAGACAAAGAGCCUUUAAAACUCAACUUUGAAGUAGUACUCCUUUCCUCCUUUUCAGCCUCCAUUUCAGACUGUUUCAGAGAAACAGUCUGGACAGUCUGGCCUCCAUCUACUGGGAUUUUAUUCUAUUAUGGGCUGAGGACCAUGCUGGAGUUUAAAAUAUCUCGUGAUCUUCAACACAUGAGGACACUAUGAUCUGCGCAGAUCAAGUACCAGUAUCAGAAAAAUAUUGCAAGGCUAUUUUCCUGGUUUUGUGCUCACUUAAAAACAAUUCCCCAAAAAAAAAAAAAAAAAAAAAAGUUAUGCUUCCUCCUUUUUCACAUCUCAGAUGAAAAGUUAAUACCACAACUUUUCUAGGCACUGAAGACCUUCCCAGACUUUGGCAUGUUCAUUUGAUGCUCAGUUUACACUCACAGAUUCCAACUUGUACACCAGUUGUGUCAGCUCUGUCGUGAAUAUCCUAUAGCUGAACAAGGAGAACAGGCUGGAAGAUAUUUGGAGGCAGUCCCCUAUUCUGCAUGCAAUCUAGUCUAUUCUCCUAACACUAUUGACAAACAGAUCUGAAAACUGGCAAGGAUAUGUCAGUUUUAACAUGCAGAGAGCUCACAGAACUUUGAUGGAAGUGUUAACUUGGUUUGGAUUUUAAGUACAGACUUAUCACAUCAUAGAAACAUCCAGAUAUUACAAUACACAGAAUAUAAAGGUGGUAUAGGAUCAGAAGUGUAUAGUAACAUUUUUAGACUUAAAUUAUCUGCUUCUUUAAGCAGAAGAAGAAUGACAAGGAGAAAAGAUCAACUGUUUCUUUCCUUUCAUGGUAAUAAAAUCUGAAUGUAAUGCUUGAAAGAGGCAGUGUUCUAGGUAGGAUUUUGAUGACAUAUAUUUUAUUUUUAAUGAGACUUUUAUUUUACAUGUACUUAGAUUUCUGUAAUGGUUUUGUUGUUUGUUUUGAUUUUUUUUUGGCAGCUUAAUACCAGUUCCUUUUCUAAGCCUCAUUCACAAUGCAAUUGAGUUGAAGAGACAAAGCUUCAGACGCAUAUGGGCUAGUAAAUCCAGAAGUAAUAUUGGUUCAGCUUCUGUAUAUGUGUUCCAUCACUCAGUUUAUAAUUUUGUCUUACUUGUGAAGUUUGUUUCUAGUUUUUUUUCUAUUAUGUUUCUAGGUUUUUUUUUCUAUUAUGGUUUGGGAUUUUAAUUUCAUAGUAUAUAAUUUUGUGACAGAAACUUACAUUUUUUAGCUUUAAAAGGACAUUCCAGCACAGUGAUAGCUUUAUGUAAUCUCCUCUUCCUGGAUAAUUUACGCACACUCCUCUGAUGUAACAAAAAAACCCUCAUCUUCUUAUUCUAAUAAUGACUCCAGGUGCAACAAGGUAGAGGUAAGAUUUCUAUUAUAAUUUCUUUUAUGACAUUUACUUUUUACUGUACUAAUUGAUGUUGCCUAAUUUUUCAAUGUUUCUUUCCAUCAGUUAAUCAUCUUAUCAUAGUUCCUUCCUAAAUAGCAAUUAGUAGAGUGAGAUAAAACAUGCAAUGGAUUUUUAAAAUCAAACUCCUCAUCCUUCCUCCAUGAAAUAGAAAAUUCAUUAAAAGUAAUUAUAAUGUUAUAGUAUGCCAGAACCAAUACAGCAGAGGGUGGAUAAUUUGAUUAAACAGAGCUCUUCUAGUUAAACAAAUCUUACUAUUUGUAAUACAGAUGGAAUUCACAAGCUCAUAUGACUGUCCAAGAGAAAAACACUAGGAUUUGAUUAAUGACCCAUGUUCUUUGUUACAAGAACAAAACUGUCUUGUAAUAUAGUAAAGACACAGUACAGUCAAGUUUUCAGAUAAUAUUGUGAUUUUUAGUCCUCUUGUGUGAGUAAGGAAGUGACUCCUUAUACAAGAGUGAAGUUGAGUAGCAUCUGAAGGAAUCACAUUACACUUUUCCUGCCUACAAAAUAAGUCAUACUAAUGCAGGAUAUUUGGAAAUAAAACUCAUAAAGUAUAAAAUGUUCUCCCCUCGCUACACCCACUGACUGGAUCCUCACCAUUAUUUUAAAACAGCUUUGUAUCCAGCACAGAGCAGUUGAUUUACACUGCGUUUUGUACUGCAAAUAAAAAUGCAGUAUUUCUACACAAAAAUGGCAGGUUGGUAUAUAUUUACUUGUAUUGGUUGACCACACAAGAUGAAAUAUUGUAUUCCACAAGGGAAUAUCAUGGAUAAUAAUUUUUUCUGCUAGGAAAAUAAGGAAGUCAGGGAAGCAUUUUUCUAUUUUCCUAUUUCUCUAUUCCAGCUAAGUGUUCAUUGUAAACUUCAUCUAAGGAUGCAAGACACUUUAAUUUAGAAGAGUUUACAACAUCAAAUUUAAAUGUCUUAUCUUAAUUUUCAUUCAUGUUUAGGUUCUGUGAAUUAGAAACAGAACUACCUAACAUGAUAAAUAACAUUUCUUCUAAGCUUUGCUGUCAGAUACAUUGUGAUGGACAGAUUACACAGCAUAAACUUUUUUCCCCAACGUAAGAUGCUGCAGUACUGAAGCUAACAUUGCAGUACUGAUAUUGGUAGUAGUUCAAGAUUAAAUGUUCUUCUCAUUGUCAGUGAUGGACAGUGAGGACUUCAGUUUCAAUAAUCUCCUGCCAGCAUCUGAGAGUAAUGAGCUCUGGUGCCAGUCCAAUGGCAGGAGAAUAAACAGUAGUUUUAUACCUACCAUAAUAUGUGCAGUUCUAUGUUUGCUUGCAUGUUUUUGCAAUCAAAUAUACAAAGUACGUGUGAUCAAAUAUACCCAAGUAAUUGACUAAAAUUCAAGCUAAAUAUCACCCCCCAAUCUUAGCAUUUCUUUCAGUUUUACAUCUGACCACGUUUGUGGAUUUAGACCAUGAAUACUGUCUUUUAUUAUGUAACUAAUGUUCCUUUCUGUCAACUGCAACCUCCUAUAAAAAGGAAAGAUCAGAGAGUUUGGUGCCUGUAUCACUCAUAAUUCUGACCUUCACUGUUUUCAGCCAUAAAAAUCAGCAUCCUUCUCAUUUAGUUAUUUUGAACCCCAAGUUGCAUCUCUAAAAGAAAGGUGUAUGAGGAAAGAAUUUAUGCGUAAAAUCUACACUGAUGACUCAAAAUGAAAAGUUUUCAUUGCCUGGUAAACCAGAGCUGUAACAGGAGUUUAGAACUGAGUUGCUCACUCCUGAUUAUCAAACUUCUGUUCUUCAGUGCAUAGGAAAGUAAUUAAAUUUCUCUACCCAAAAAGCCAUGAGGAUAGUAAAUGUUAUUAUUUCAAGUAUGUUUGUAAUUAAUUUCUUCAGCGUUUGAUUUAUUUAUAAAUAUAAAACUAUGUGGAGGGGGUGAUACUCUGUGUGAACUCUGUGUAACUGCUGAGUAAACAAAAAUCUUGUUGUGUAAUGUUUAUCUCUUCUUCAUUUCCUUUUUUGCAGCAGUAGCAGCAUCCUAGUGCAGGGAGUAUACAGUAAGACCUUUGAUAGUAGAGGCAUGUAACCAUUCACGCUAAAGGCUCUUAGGAAAAUUAGCCACCCCUGCCAGUAGAACAAGCUGUAGCUUUCACCCUGCCUCACUGCCUGAAGUAGCUGCCAAAGUCCAGUGCCCUCUUGCACAUGAAAAUUUCUUUUGUUUCUUCUGUUAUGGUUCUUCUGAGAGAUAGGAUUUAAUCCUUUUAACUUUCAACAUGCAAAGGAACAGUUUGCUUCUGCAACUGGGAGAGGAAAUUGCUUGUUUAUUUGGACAGCCUUGAGGGAUGCAAUGAAAUUAGUGCAGCAAUCUGCAAUAACCUUACAGGAAUGCAUGCCACCAAAGAUUGCUAAGUACAAUACACUUUAAUUGGAACCCUCCAGUUUCCAGGACACUGUAUUAAUUAUAUAUGCUAGGAGUAAAUGGCACAGAACAGGUUGAGGCCCAAAAUACCAUAAAGUGAUCGGACAGUCCCCCUAACUACUCUCUACAUUGAAUCAUUACGAUUGCAAUAAAUAAUUCACAUUUCUACUCUGGUCUGAUUAACCCACGAUGAAAAUAGGUUGUGGAAUUAGCUCUUGGGACUUUUCUGAAACAAAACUUAUCAUCAAAAGCUGUACAUCAUAGCUGAGAUUCCAAAUACAAGGUAGGAUAAGUACUGAAGUGGUGAUGGCUAAUCAUAUAUAGCCCAUGUUCAAAAUAUUUGUGGUGCUGUAGUAGUACAUUUGGCAGUUCCAAAAAUUCAAAAUGCAUUGAUCAGGACAAAGAAAAUAUUGAAAUUUCUAAAAGAGGUCAAGGGAAAAUUUGAGUCUUGAAUGCUUUUUUUAGCAUUCUGUAUUUUAAAUCACAAAUCACAUUUUUAAACUUUCACCUAAUCUCUAAGGAUUUAAAGUAUCAUUUUAAAUACUUUAUGAUCUAAAGAUCAUUUUAGACUCUGGAGCUGGGGUAUUAUGAAAACAAUUAGAUAUUCCAAAAUUUGUGGAGGAGAUUAUGUGAAGUUCCAACUUCUAGCAGUAUCUCCUGUUCAGGCAAGGUAGAAAUGUGACUCAAUAUGUGAAAAAUACAUCUAAACCAGUAAGAGACACAUUAAAACAUAUUUAUGGAAAACAAAUAUCAGUGUUAUAGACUGUAAGUGAAAUGUCCCUUUAGAUGUGUUACAUAAAAGCGUUUGGGUUUAUGGCUAACAUGUAAGUAAGGUGUGCCAUACCUUUAACUGAUCUGUGUUAUCACAGGAGCUGUCCUCUCUUUCAUACAGCGUUUGGGCCUAUAAAAUUACAAGUCAGACAAACUCCUGGUUUUCAAAGUAGCAUUAUUAUCAAGGUAUGUUUCCCUCAUACCCACCUGCUUAUCAUGUCUUACACUGUAGAUGUUAAUGUAUCAUAAAUCACAGAGGACUAGGAAAGCACAAAACAUGAGUGAGAAUACAUUCUAUGUAUUUCUACUGUUUACAUAGCAUUCUACAGAAAGACAAGUUGAAUUUUCUGACAUAUAUUGCAAAACAAAGCCUUAAUUCUUUGUAAGGAUUAUUACUAGAAAAGGCAAAAGUGAGAAAGAAAACUUCAUGAAGAAUAUCUUGUCUUAUUAUGAAUGAUAAUAAAAUUCAUAUAAGCAGAAACUCAGUCAGUAUGAAGAAUAUUUAGUUUUGGUUGGAUAUGAUCAUGUCACAAGUCAUGCUAUUAAUGCCUUAAGUAGAUGCCUUAGUAGUAGUGCCAAGGUAGAUGCCUUGUCAAGCCUCCAAAGGGAAGGGAAUGAAUGAUGUGUUAGGUUUUAGCUUUCAUAUUUUCCAGAUUCUGUACUGCAUUGGUAUAUAACUCUGAACUUCAUAUAAAGUGUUAGCAAGUUCUCUUCACAGUUUAGUUAGACAAAACAAUCCUUUUCCAGUCCGAGCACCAAGGACACCAUUGCAGCUUCAGACCCAAAAAACACAAACGGUGAACUGAAGAGAGCAAAUGGUCAAUUGAAGAGAGCAAAGCAGGAGGAUGGGACUUCAUAGCCUGAAGGUGUAAUUGGACAAUUAACUCUAAUAUGUAAAUGGACCAAAACUUAAAAGUGUGAAACCUCCUGACUUGGCGUCCAUCUUCGGUGUAGUCCCAGCUGGGCUCUUGUACUGCCCAAGGUGUAACCUUUGAAGGGCUUCUACUAAAUACCUACUUUAUACCUGUAACACUGUCUAGCCUCUCAAGGCAUCACUAUGUCACUACAGGUGGAACCACAGCUGGGACAGGACACAAUGUUUUUGGAAAUCACAGGCUAUGUCCUAAAUUCUUAUUGGCUAAAAUGAUAUUUCUAUAUGAAAGAGGUUUUAAGGAUGUAACUACGUCUGUGCACUGUGGCUGGUGUUUAGAUUGAUUUUAGAUGAGGACACGGUACAAUCUUUCGAUCAAAAUAGAUUAGGCAAAUCCAGUUCGAGGAUAAAUAUUACCAGUGAAAGACAAAUGUGCCUCAUGAUGUUUACAUUUCUCAAAGAUAAAUAUUUUGCUUAAAUAUUAAAUAGAAGGAAGGUUCAAACUAUAGGUUGUGUUGUCCUUGCUUGUGAAUGACUGUCUCCUAAGGUCUUUAAUAAACUUUUAUUUUUUUGAAAAUGAAUGUUGCAUAGCAAAUUAUGUGGAUUUGAUCACAUCUCCCAAAAGACAGGAGAGGUCAUUGUCUGAGAGCUAGAAGAAGAGCUGUCCAAGCUCACUGAUAGUAUCAGAAUGUGUAAAUGCCUGAAAUAAGCAUUUAGUACCUUUUAAGAGACAGUUUUGGAUGUUAACCAGUAUGGAGCUAGAGUAAUCUUUCAAGAACUGAAGAGCGAGUGACAGGUUUUCAGAUAUGAAUGGUAUAUUUAUAAAAUAUGCAUAUUUAUUAGAUUAAGAUAAAACCAACAUGGACUUUAUCCCUUGAAAACAACAAUUUUUUUUCAUAGUCACUUUUAAUUUCCACAUGCAUCUUUUAUGCAUCCUCUUCCUUUCUUCUCUUUACCUUCUCUCCCAUACCUGUGUCAAGAGUACUGUCUCAUGAUGAUAUAUUCCAGGUUUAUUAGGAGUUCCUUAUAAGUAAUCUUUUAGUAAAAUAUUAAGAAAAAUUGUAUUCCAUUUUAUGCCAUGUCACAGAAUAUCCUGAGUUGGAAGCGAUCAACAAGCACCAUAGGUUUCAACACCUGGCCCUUCACAAAACAACCCUAAAAAUCACAUUGUGUGCCUACAAAUAUUGCCUAAGAUUGUCUUGAAAUCUGUCAGGCUUUGUUCUGUGACCACUUCCCUGGGAAACCUGUUCCAGUGCCCAACCACCCUCUGGGUGAAGAGAAUCUUUUCCUGGUAUCAAGUCUACUCCUGCCCUGACAGUGCUUCAGGUUAUUCCCUCAGGUCCUGUAACUGGGGACCACACAGAAGAGAUCAGUGAUUAUCCUUCCUCUUCCCCUGAUGAGGAACCUGCAACUGCAGUAAGGUCCGUCCUCAGUCUCUUCCCCAGCCUGAACAAAUCAAGUGAUCUCAGCAGCUCUUCACAGAGCUUUCCACCAAGGCCUUGACCAUCUCUAUUGCCCUUCUCUGGACACUCUCUAACAGCUUAAUGUCUGUUUCAUAUUGUGGUACCCAGAACUCAAGAUGAAGCUGCCCCAGUGCAGACCAGAGCAGGACAAUCCCCUCCUUUUCCUGGCUGGCAAUGCUGUGCCUGAUGCACCCCAGGACAGGGUUGGCCCUCCUGGCUGCCAGGGCACUGCUGACUCAUGUUCAAUUGCCAUGACCAGUCCCCCAGUUCCUUUCCUGCAGUGCUGCUCUCCAGCCUCUCAUUCCCCAGCCCGUCCAGGGUUGUCUUGUACCAGGUGCAAAAUCUGGCACUUCCCAUUUUUAAACUUCAUGUGGUUAUUCAGGUUAGACAGAAGGAAUUUCUUAACUGAAAGGGCUGUCAAGCACAUGAAUGUACUGUCCAGAGAGGUGGUGGAGUCACCGUUCCUGGAAGAGUUAAUGAAAUGACUAGACAUGGCAUUUAGUGCUCUGGUUAUUUCAAAAACUGUUGAUUGAUCAAAGGUUGGACUCAGUGACCCUGGAGGUCUUUUCCAACUUUAAUUAUUCCAUGACUCUAUACUGGGUGAUUACCUGUCUCUCUAAUUUGUCUAGGUCUCUGCAAGGUCUUUCUGUCUUCAAGAGAGUCAAGAGCUCCUUCUAAUUUAGUAUCAGCACACUUAGUAUAUCUUUGAGUCCCGCAUCCAAGUCAUUUAUAAAGGAGUUGAAGAGAACUGCUCCUAAAAUGGAGCUUGGAGAAAACCCAGAGCACUAGGUUGAUGUAACCACAUUCACAUCAAAAGAGUUAAAAAGUCAAAAGAGUUAAGAAACACUUUACUAUUUAAAGACGGAUUAUAGAAGUGUUAAUUGGAAGUGAUGAAGUUGAAAUUUAGAGUAUAAAUGUACAACUCAACUCAUAUAUUUUCUGCCUUGACAAUAUACUCUCUUUUUUGAGUAUGUGCUGACAUGACUACCAAAAUAUUCUCUGGUUUUCCUUACAAUUUUAGAAAUAUUUCUUCUGUUGAUUCACUUUAUGUCACCAGGUUCUGUGAAAACUCACAAUUUCAAAGGAAAUCAAAUGGCUACUAUUAGUUAAAAUUUAAUUUCAUUAUUGUCAAAUGUAUAUAAAAAUUUGCAAGCUUUUAUUUUAAUUUCUUUCAAGAAAUUAUAGAAUUUUUUUAAUGUAACAUCAUUACCAUUCUUUCUGUGACCCAGAAGAAAAAUGGGAUACUGUCUAAAAGACUUACUGAAUAAAAUUAAAAUACAAUGUAUCAGUAAAGAUGUGAAUAAGUAUUGAUACUUUAUGACUGGUCUAUAAUUUUAUAGGUUUAGAAUUUGGUCUUAUGAAAUAUAACGUAGGUGGCAGCAAGAAAAUAAUUGCAGUUUACAAAACACCAUGCACUGAUUUAUAUUGUCUUUAUGUUUUGUUAAUAAUAUAUCAGCUAGUCUCCAGAAACAAUAUGAUGUGUGAGGCAAUUUCUUGCAUUGUAUCCUUCCUCUCACCAAAGAAGUUUUCUUUAGUUGAUCUAAAAUAUCCCUUAGACCAAGAGUGCAGAUGUCACAUGAUGAACUGGCUCAGUGCUUAGUACAGAGUAUUAACAAUAAUGCUAAAGAAUGCAAUUUUACUCUUAGUCAAAGCACCUGAUUCUGCCACAUGCCUGACACUUGAAUUAUCCUGUGGAUGAAAGUCAGGGCACCUGUUUUCACUGGAAAAGUGUUUAGAUGGAGUCUACAAAGAGGGCAUCCUGUUUUUAGGUAUGCAGCAUGAUGAAUUACAUCAGAAUGAUGUAGUUCUGCUGAAGGCAAUGGGAUUAUAAUGGGUUGGUAUCCAAAUAUUACAACUUUAGCUUUGGAAUAAAUAUUAAUAAUUGCCGCUCACAUGCUGUACAGCACUGAGAAUAUAAAGUGGUGUCACCUUAAUGUUACCUAUUUUGCUGGCCUCAGUGUCUGACGAGCACAGGUUCUCCAGUGCAAUAUUGUGCACACAAAAAACCCCAGUAUGUGGAUAGUCCCUUAUGACAGAGAUAUUACUCUUUCCCCAGGCCAAUCUUUAUAGGCUUAUAAGUCCUGACUAUAAAGCUGAAAGGCUUGACAGCCCUGCCUAACUGAGCAUCCAGGCCCCAUAGUUCUUGAAAUCCAGCUCAAAUGUCUCAUCUAAACCCAAUAAAAUGCUAGCAUGUUUUAUAAUGGGGAGCUGGUGAUUAAGGUAAGCUAAAUAAAUUUUGCUGUGAAUUCUACUUUGAAAGAUGAACCAGAGCUGCUCAGGAAGUUGCAUGAACUGCUUAUAAGCCACGGUUUAACCAGUUGUGUAAUAAGGUGCUGAGAGUGGUUUGUACUCAAACAAAAGACAGAUUGGCAAAUCUAAACAAAACUAAUUAAAUUGAUAAAUGGACCCAAUGAAAGGUAUUAUACAGACAUAUACCUAUACAUGUACAUAUAAAAUUUCAAAAUAUAUUGGAAAAAAAUAUUUCAUCACCACUUACUAUGAGAAUUUAUGUUUGAAUAACUGUAGUAAUUUAAAGGUACAGAGGUAUUUUGAUCCAUGUAUUAGGGCACUGCACAGUCUUGCACAAGAAAUCAUUAGAUUUAAUGGGGUAUCCAUUCCAAGCACUACUGAAAUUACAAGAAGCUUACUUAAAAGAGAGAGUAUUUAAUUCUGCAUAUGAAUGAGUGUGUAAGCAAAGAAAAAUACUGAUUUUUUUCUUGAAUUUCCUGAUAUCUGACUGAGCCCACCAAAUGCUAACUAAUCUUUACUUUCUAAUACUGCAAGAAAAUUAAGAUUUUCAGCUAAUUUUCUUAGUUUCCUUGGAACCCUUUUUCUGUGUUCACACAGUUCUGUGAAAUGUCUCUGCUUCUGGCAUUCUGGCAUGUCUCUGCUUCAUUCUUCUAUUUUCAGCAUUGGUGUUUUGUGGAGAUAGGCACCUUCUUUAGCAUGUCGAUAACAUUUAAAAAUAGUAGAGGGCACAGAGAUGCCAGAGACUAUGAAGUAUUAAAGUAAUUCUAUGCCUAGAACCAAUCAUCAUGACUUCUAAGGAUAAUUGAAACAGCAUUCCUUCUUCAGAGCUUUUCUGGUUUUUCCUUUUAAAAGACUGGAAUGGUCUAUGAGCACACAUUUCUCAGCCUCAAGAGUUCUUGAUUGUUGUAUGCUGGUAAUUUUUAAUUUUUUUUUUCCUUUUUAGCUUUUUAGGGAUAUCUGGAAUGUUUUUCUUCAGAUUAUAUUGCUUCUAAGGAAAUCAGCAAUUUUCCUCAGAGGUAGCAUGUGGCAUCAUCUUGAAUCCUAUACUACUUAAAGAGACUGUUGCCUUUUGAAAUGCUUCACUAUAUUUUCCUCCUGAUUUCCUGAGUGUAAAUUCUGAUCUGGAAAAAAUUAUUUCUUCAAAGGCUACUGAAAAGACUAUAACUAUUCCUCUUCUGUGAUAUUCAAAGCCUCCUUUUAAUGCACCCAAUCUACUGUGGGUAUUCAGUCAUGUUAAUGUGCUAACACAGAAAUAUGUACUCAUAUAGAUGAGCAUUCAGUGUGUGAAAAUCUGCUAUGUGAGAGUAGGCAUAUUCUUACUCUCCUUAAUGAGCCAGUCCUUGAAAUGAUACUGGGCCAGCCAAGGUUAAGACAUGCAUUUGAAUUUCUAAACAGAAAAAACUUAAUAAAGUUCAGAUGCAGAAAGAAGUGGCAAAAAAGUAUUUUGAAAAAUAGUCUGGAAUAAGCCCAGAAGCUUGCCCAUGUUCCAGAAAUCUGAUAAUUUGUGCUAAAUCCUGCUUUCCAGUUUUGUUGGUGGCAUCUGUCAGUAGCAUAUUCUUUUCUGUUUUCCCAAUAAGUUGCAUUCACAGACAAUAGCUCUCCAAUUUGUGUAUACAUGCUUGUGUGCAUAUAUAGGGGGUGGGUGGAACAUGUAAACAAUGCAUUCUUGAAAGUAUCAUAUUAUUUCUCCCUUGUUAUUUAUUUAUAAUUAUGUAUUGCAUAAUUCAUGUAUACCUGUAUGUAAUAUACAUUAGGAUUAUUUUUAUGUCUGGAACCUCUUGUUCAAGUCUGUGCUGGAUUUCUGUAAAGUCCCAUGUAACAAUAACUUGGCAAUGGAGAAAACAUUUAUGUGAUGGAGCACCACACUUUACAAAGUUCCUUAAUGAUCUAAUGAAAAUCAGAAUUACAUGGGAAUGUAUGAGACUACAACCUCAUUUGUAACUAUAGACAAGAUCAAAUGUUUAAGGCAUCGGGGAAUGCCUUCCACAGAAUUCUGUAAGGUAAUGAAAUUAUGAUAAUUUUACUUCAUUUGAUUAUGCUUUAAUUUUACUUAUUAUGGGUGUAACUAGGAACUUAAUGUAUUGUCUGAUGUGGCAAGCAACAAUACUUGCAAAUGAGUCUUGAAUUGGUAAUGUUCUCCCCCUACCUCAAAUCAGGGUUUCCUAAUGCUUCUACAAAGCAAAGGUAAAUGGCAGAAAUUCCUUUAUUGUAAUGAAACAAUUUAUAAAGAACUUUCGUCUAUUUUUUUAUUAUUUACUUUAUUUUUAGAAAUUUAUAUUGUUUGUUGCAACUUAAUUUAUGAGUCCUCUUUUACAUAUGCACCUCAACCUUUAAUUUUUUUUCAUAUGAAGAUGAACUAAAACAGAACCCCUUUCUUUUUUUCACCUUUGACAGCAGAUGAAAGAAUAAUCUCUCCUGCACUACAUCAAAUAACCUUGUCUUUUCUAACAUUCUGCCUCACCCAAGGUGAUUUCUGAGCUUUCUCCGAAUUCCUUAAUGUCUUCCCUGUAUUUCACCGUUACUUUUCUAGUGUGUCUUUAUACUUUUAUGGUGUCAAUUGUGCUUGUACUUAAAAUCCUCCAGUCAAUUAAGCAGCUGAACUUUAAUGAUGGUCUAUUAGGAGACAUCUUGUUUCUGCUAAUUUUCAGGGACUGCACUGCCUCUUUUUUCACUUUGAAAUAAAAAAAGGUAUGUCCACUCUUCUCAAUUGAAACCAAUUACUCAAUUCCUGCUUGUUUAAACUGACUCGGGAUUUUCCCAGAAAAUAUCUAAGAGUAGUUAACAUUUGCCAUUCUGAGCAUAAAAUACUUUGGAAGAACUCCAUGAAAUGCAAUCUGAAAUUUUAUUUAGAAAACUGUUGUAGCACACUUACCAGAGCAAGUAAAACCUGCAGUUCGUUCAUAGAUGUACUGUUGAUAACAAAACCCACUGAAUUACUCAUGAAGUGAUUCCAUGUUUUCUGUCCUCAUCUCAUCUUACCUUGCUGUUAUGAUCCAAUUGUUAAAAGAGAUGCCUCCUUCUCCUCUUUUAGGCCUGGAAUUAGAGCCUUCUUUUUUUUGCCAUCUGUGCUUAUCUAGUGACAUGGAAAUUCUGGCAGCUUAUGGAAAUUUCCUUAUUUGUCAGUGUUUUGGGAGAAUUGAUUGUGCCCUUUACGUUCUUGCAUUUGCCUCACAAGAUGCAGUACUAAGAAGAUAAAACCACUACUCUCUCACAGCUCUUCCCUCUUACAGCUUAACACUAGAUACACAAUCCUGUUGUCACAGUAGUUCUUUUGGGGAAUACAGUGGUUUUUGCUAGGUAUGUUCAUUGUCCCUUCUCCUAGCAUAUGGAGUUAUCUGCAGUGAUAUAUCCCUGUUUCACUGGCCUCCUUUCAGGGAUAAGCUUUCCAUCAUUAAGAGGCUGAAAUAAACCCAGUGAAAUAAAGAAACAAUAUAAGAUUCAUUUUAAUAGUUAUUUUCAUCAAUUUAUUUGCAUUUUUUGGGAUUAAUCUAUAU
Passer domesticus (house sparrow) is the source of this 14719-nucleotide long non-coding RNA. RefSeq lists it as uncharacterized. Lineage: Eukaryota; Metazoa; Chordata; Aves; Passeriformes; Passeridae. The record is from RefSeq and is a predicted model, not a curated record. The transcript is spliced from 6 exons.